Paramuricea clavata is the source of this 67-nucleotide non-coding RNA. The record is from the annotation of a GenBank genome assembly. NCBI's taxonomy places the organism in Eukaryota, Metazoa, Cnidaria, Anthozoa, Malacalcyonacea, Plexauridae.
GGCUCUGUAGUUCAGUUGAUUAGAGUACUCCACCCAAAUCGCAGGUUCGAUUCCUGCCAGCGGGCCA